Molecule: long non-coding RNA, 500 nt
Filed under: Homo sapiens (human)
Lineage: Eukaryota; Metazoa; Chordata; Mammalia; Primates; Hominidae
Description: non-protein coding lnc-CRX-5:1
Source: RNAcentral
AUAAACACAACUUGGAUGACCUUGAAAUCAUCAUGCUAAAUAUUUAUCUUUCUUUUUUUUUUUUUUUUUGAGACAGAGUCUCACUCUGUCACCAGGCUAGAGUGCAGUGGCGCGAUCUCGGCUCACUGCAACCUCCACCUCCCAGGUUCAAGCAAUUCUCCUGCCUCAGCCUCCCGAGUAGCUGGGACUACAGGCAUGCACCACCACGCCCAGCUAAUUUUUGUGUUUUUUAGUGGAGACGGGGUUUCACCAUGUUGGCCAGGAUGGUCUCCAUCUCUUGACCUCCUGAUCCACCCGCCUCAACCUCCCAAAGUGCUGGGAUUACAGGUGUGAAACAGGGAGUCAGGUAGGCUGGGUGCGGUGGCUCAUGCCUGUAAUCCCAGCACAUUGGGAGGCCGAGGAGGGCGGAUCACCUGAGGUCAGAAGUUCGAGACCAGCCUGGACAACAUGGUGAAACCCCGUCUCUACUAAAAAUAUAAAAAUUAGCGGAGGCGGAAGUU